RNAcentral lists this RNase P RNA (393 nucleotides) under Kaistia sp. SCN 65-12. RNAcentral describes it as "RNase P RNA component class A". It matches the Rfam family "Bacterial RNase P class A". From Rfam's summary of the family: Ribonuclease P (RNase P) is a ubiquitous endoribonuclease, found in archaea, bacteria and eukarya as well as chloroplasts and mitochondria. Its best characterised activity is the generation of mature 5'-ends of tRNAs by cleaving the 5'-leader elements of precursor-tRNAs. Cellular RNase Ps are ribonucleoproteins. Lineage: Bacteria; Pseudomonadati; Pseudomonadota; Alphaproteobacteria; Hyphomicrobiales; Kaistiaceae. The record is from RNAcentral.
CCAGUCGGCCGGACGACCGCUGCUGCGAAACCGAAAGGUUGCAGGGGAGGAAAGUCCGGGCUCCAUGGAAACACGGUGCCGGGUAACGCCCGGCGGGGGCGACCCCAGGGAAAGUGCCACAGAAAGCAAACCGCCCGUGCGUUCGCGCGACGGGUCAGGGUGAAAGGGUGGGGUAAGAGCCCACCGCGGGCCCAGCAAUGGGAACGGCACGGCAAACCCCACCGGGAGCAAGACCGAAUAGGGGCGACACGGGCGCAAGCCCAGCCUGUUUCCAGGUCCGUCGCCCGGGUUGGUCGCGAGAGGCGUCCCGGCAACGGGCGUCCCAGAUGAAUGGUCGUCACGCGGCGGUUCGCCGCCGCCCUACAGAACCCGGCUUACAGGCCGGCUGGCAAU